RNAcentral lists this ribosomal RNA (253 nucleotides) under uncultured bacterium. RNAcentral's name for it is "partial 16S ribosomal RNA". It matches the Rfam family "Bacterial small subunit ribosomal RNA", at positions 524 to 776 of the family's 1533-position model. The record is from RNAcentral.
UACGUAGGAGACGAGCGUUGUCCGGAGUUACUGGGCGUAAAGGGUGCGCAGGCGGCCCGGCGCGUGUGGGGUAAAAUCUCCCGGCUCAACUGGGAGGGGGCCUUGCAGACGGGCGGGCUUGAGGGUCGCAGAGGGGCGUGGAAUUCCCAGUGUAGAGGUGAAAUUCGUAGAUAUUGGGAAGAACACCGGUGGCGAAGGCGGCUCUCUGGGCCGUAACUGACGCUGAGGCGCGAAAGCGUGGGGAGCAAACGGG